AACGAACGCUGGCGGCAGGCUUAACACAUGCCAGUCGAGCGCCCCGCAAGGGGUGCGGCAGACGGGUGAGUAACGCGUGGGAACGUACCUUUUGGUUCGGAACAACUCCGGGAAACUGGAGCUAAUACCGGAUAAGCCCUAACGGGGAAAGAUUUAUCGCCGAAAGAUCGGCCCGCGUCUGAUUAGCUAGUUGGUGAGGUAACGGCUCACCAAGGCGACGAUCAGUAGCUGGUCUGAGAGGAUGAUCAGCCACACUGGGACUGAGACACGGCCCAGACUCCUACGGGAGGCAGCAGUGGGGAAUAUUGGACAAUGGGCGCAAGCCUGAUCCAGCCAUGCCGCGUGAGUGAUGAAGGCCUUAGGGUUGUAAAGCUCUUUUGUCCGGGAAGAUAAUGACUGUACCGGAAGAAUAAGCCCCGGCUAACUUCGUG
Molecule: ribosomal RNA, 431 nt
Filed under: uncultured bacterium
Lineage: Bacteria
Description: partial 16S ribosomal RNA
Rfam family: Bacterial small subunit ribosomal RNA
Source: RNAcentral